AGGCCUAUAGCCAAGCGGUAAGGCAAUGGACUCUGACUCCAUUAUUCGCACGUUCGAAUCGUGCUAGGCUUGCCA
This 75-nucleotide transfer RNA is filed under the name Acholeplasmatales bacterium. RNAcentral's name for it is "tRNA-Gln". It matches the Rfam family "tRNA". From Rfam's summary of the family: Transfer RNA (tRNA) molecules are approximately 80 nucleotides in length. Their secondary structure includes four short double-helical elements and three loops (D, anti-codon, and T loops). Lineage: Bacteria; Bacillati; Mycoplasmatota; Mollicutes; Acholeplasmatales. The record is from RNAcentral.